CAUCCAGCCACAGUGCCAAGUGCGCCACCAAAUCCAUUCCGGAGGAUAGGGCCUCCUCACUUUAGGCCCCCAACAGGGACUCUGCCAGCCAUCCCUGCUCCCCAAUUUGUGCCUACGGAUCUUCCUGCCAUAUGCCCACUAACACCAGCUGUUGGAGGUCCAAACCAAUUUCCUGACAAAGAAUUGAACCAAAACCAUGACCAAGAAAACCUGGAGACCUGCAGCCUAACUGCGCCAGCAGUUCCCUGUGAGGGGAAAGAAUCAUGCCAUGGACAAGUGGCAGUCACUACUGCUCAUCCAGCCACAGUGCCAAGUGCGCCACCAAAUCCAUUCCGGAGGAUAGGGCCUCCUCACUUUAGGCCCCCAACAGGGACACUGCCAGCCAUCCCUGCUCCCCAAUUUGUGCCUACGGAUCUUCCUGCCAUAUGCCCACUAACACCAGCUGUUGGAGGUCCAAACCAAUUUCCUGACAAAGAAUUGAACCAAAACCAUGACCAAGAAAACCUGGAGACCUGCAGCCUAACUGCGCCAGCAGUUCCCUGUGAGGGGAAAGAAUCAUGCCAUGGACAAGUGGCAGUCACUACUGCUCAU
Ochotona curzoniae (black-lipped pika) is the source of this 591-nucleotide long non-coding RNA. RefSeq lists it as uncharacterized. NCBI's taxonomy places the organism in Eukaryota, Metazoa, Chordata, Mammalia, Lagomorpha, Ochotonidae. The transcript has 5 exons. The record is from RefSeq and is a predicted model, not a curated record.